GGACUACCGGGGUUUCUAAUCCCGUUUGCUCCCCUGGCUUUCGCGCAUCAGCGUCAGAAGAGGACCAGCAGCUCGCUUUCGCCACCGGAGUUCCUUCCAAUAUCAACGCAUUUCACCGCUCCACUGGAAGUUCCAGCUGCCCCUACCUCCCUCCAGCCUCUCAGUAUCCAAGGCACUUUUCCGGUUAAGCCGAAAGAUUUCACCCCGGACUUGAGAGACCGCCUACGCGCCCUUUAAGCCCAGUGAUUCCGAACAACGUUCGCACGGUUCGUCUUACCGCGGCGGCUGGCAC
RNAcentral lists this ribosomal RNA (292 nucleotides) under uncultured Planctomycetota bacterium. Its description in RNAcentral is "uncultured planctomycete partial 16S ribosomal RNA". The record is from RNAcentral. Lineage: Bacteria; Pseudomonadati; Planctomycetota.